Molecule: unclassified non-coding RNA, 860 nt
Filed under: Athalia rosae (coleseed sawfly)
Lineage: Eukaryota; Metazoa; Arthropoda; Insecta; Hymenoptera; Athaliidae
Description: misc RNA ENSAEAG00005012551.1
Source: RNAcentral
UUUGUGAAGUUAAUUAAUUUUGUUACUUCGUUUAAAAACUUCAGACUUGAAAUUUUGGAACAUUUUUAAAUUAAACGACUCUCCCUAAUGGACAAUGUGCGUGUGGGAGUACGUACACCCCAUUAAAUUGAGAUCAAACAAAAAUAUUUCAGUUUGAAUUCAAAAGUGCCAAGUAACAAUGGAGAGGAAACUUUCAACUAUGAUCGGUAGAAAUGGCUUCGGAGAAAACUGAGGCGAAGGAAGCGAGGGUCUAAUUACAAAUUUUAACAACGAUUUCAUUUCGAAUAUCUUCGUGUCAAAUGAUGGAGACGAGAAGGAGUGAACCCGUGGGCCCUUACUUUCAAUUGAAACGUCUGGAAUUAUACAAUCUUUUAUUUCAAAUACAGAGAUGCUCUAGUCAUACGAUCGUGGCCCAUCUCAGAAAAGGAAACUGCGGCGAUGAGGUUGUACUAGAGGAAAAAUUGCCACCUCUCCCUCAACUUGCGGAUUCGACUCGCAAAAUCCUAAAUGAAGGAUGAUGAACCGAUUUCUGUGUGCUAUUUAUCCGGUAUCAGCCCUUUCUGACGAGCAUCUCCUUACCUGCAACAAGAAGUGUGCUUACACCCGCCGGUUCACAAUUUGCAAAAUAAUUAUCAUACAUAUACAUAGCGUCGAAUAGUGAUGUAUACAAAUGAGUCCUUAUGCAAUAUAUUCAUAAGUUGUAUUCUCUCAAAUAACUGGGGCAAUAUUUUAAUAUUGAUAUGAACAUUAUUCAUGUUGUCAAUGAUAUUGCAAAGUUUUGGAUAAUUAUUCAAAUAAUGUAUGUAUGCUGAAUGUAUUCCACCUGCAUACCUCAUGAAUAAAUGACAAGCUAUUUUAGA